This 847-nucleotide ribosomal RNA is filed under the name uncultured Planctomycetia bacterium. RNAcentral's name for it is "bacterial SSU rRNA". It matches the Rfam family "Bacterial small subunit ribosomal RNA", at positions 58 to 936 of the family's 1533-position model. Lineage: Bacteria; Pseudomonadati; Planctomycetota; Planctomycetia. The record is from RNAcentral.
CAAGUCGGGGGAAUCCCCGCAAGGGGGGAACCGGCGUAAGGGGCAGUAGGGCGUGGGUACCCACCCCCGGGUCCGGGAUAGCCGUCCGAGAGGGCGGGUAAUACCGGAUGACCUCGGGAGAGCAAAGGUUUACCGCCCGGGGCGGGGCCCACGUGGUAUCAGGUAGUCGGUGGGGUGACGGCCCACCGAGCCGCAGACGCCUAGCGGGUGUGAGAGCACGACCCGCGCCACUGGCACUGAGACACUGGCCAGACACCUACGGGUGGCUGCAGUCGAGGAUCUUCGGCAAUGGGGGCAACCCUGACCGAGCGACGCCGCGUGUGCGACGAAGGCCUUCGGGUUGUAAAGCACUGUCGAGGGGGAGGAAGGCCCGCAAGGGCGUGACCUAUCCCUGGAGGAAGCACGGGCUAAGUUCGUGCCAGCAGCCGCGGUAAGACGAACCGUGCGAACGUUGUUCGGAAUCACUGGGCUUAAAGGGCGCGUAGGCGGGCCGUCGCGUCCGGGGUGAAAUCCCCCCGCUCAACGGGGGGACGGCCUCGGAUACGGGCGGCCUGGAGGCGGGUAGGGGCACGCGGAACUGUGGGUGGAGCGGUGAAAUGCGUUGAGAUCCACAGGAACUCCGGUGGCGAAGGCGGCGUGCUGGACCCGUCCUGACGCUGAGGCGCGAAAGCCAGGGGAGCGAACGGGAUUAGAUACCCCGGUAGUCCUGGCCCUAAACGAUGAGGAGUAGGUAGUAGCCCGGGCAUGGGGUUACUGCCGGAGCAAAAGUGCUAAGUCCUCCGCCUGGGGAGUAUGGCCGCAAGGCUGAAACUCAAAGGAAUUGACGGGGGCUCACACAAGCGGUGGA